CUUUUUAAUUGAGGGCUGGAAUGAAAGGUAGAUACUGAAGGGAAAGUUUUUUUAGAUAAGUUUGAAUUUAAUUUAAGAGUAAAAAAGCUCUUGUGAAUUUUCGGGACGAGAAGACCCUAGAAGUUUAAAAUUAGAAAUUUUUGAUUGGGGCAAUCAUUGAAGAUAAUUUAUUUUUAAUAGUUGAAAAUGGAGUUUGGAAAUUACUCUAGGGAUAACAGCGUUAUUUAAUUAAUGAGUUCUUAUUAACAAUUAAGUUUGCGACCUCGAUGUUGAAUUAAAUUAAAUUAAUGGUGAAGGGGCUAUAAGAUUUAGUCUGUUCGACUAUUAAAAAUUUACGUGAUCUGAGU
Molecule: ribosomal RNA, 347 nt
Filed under: Paravonones sp. MZSP 73162
Lineage: Eukaryota; Metazoa; Arthropoda; Arachnida; Opiliones; Cosmetidae
Description: partial large subunit ribosomal RNA
Rfam family: Bacterial large subunit ribosomal RNA (bases 74-347)
Source: RNAcentral